Molecule: ribosomal RNA, 1409 nt
Filed under: Triticum aestivum (bread wheat)
Lineage: Eukaryota; Viridiplantae; Streptophyta; Magnoliopsida; Poales; Poaceae
Description: partial small subunit ribosomal RNA
Source: RNAcentral
ACCUUAUUGAGUACAGAAGUGGCACUUGGAUUAAGCAUUUGAAAAACAUUAAUGCAUGGUACCCAAUACCAAUUGGCAGGCCAACAUAUAAGAACAAAUUUUGCUUAAUUGUAUUUCAGAUAUAUAGAGAAGCAUGUACUGAUUUUUAUUUGCACAAAAUGAUUAGUCGUAGAUUGUCAUAGAGAUUUUGUAGUCAUUUCAUUCAAAUGGCUUAAAACUAACAUAAAAAUGUGGCAAUCCAUUGGCACAAAUAGACUUCAUACAGUACUCUCAAGUCUACAAUACAAUACCAAUUGGCAAGCCAACAUUCAGAGAAGCAUCUACUGAACUUAGGUUGUAGAAAUUCAGAGAAGCAUGUUCUGGAUUUAGCAAGUAGAAAUUCAGAGAAGCAUGAGUGGAGGAGCCGAUUCUACCGUUUCGUGUAUGCUGUCUACCUUUUCCUAUUAUCAGUUGGGAUGUCACUUUUUCUGUCUUCCAUGCUCAGGGUCUUUUGAUAUAGAACUUGUUGACUAUCUGACUUCCAUGCUACAAAAGAUAGGCAUCUCCUAAAUUAUGUUUGCUAAUUCUUUCAUUUAGCCAAGUUGGAUGUCAAUCCUCCCAAUUAUGUGCUUAUAUAAUAACAGAACAUAUUAGAGAAUAGAGAUAUGUUCAGUGACAUGCAUUCUGUUUCAUGCAAAGCACAUAAACUCUAUAUUAUAGGCCAUUGCAUUUUGUUUACUCGGUAUAUUAAGAAAUAGGAGUACAAUUGUAGUCAUGUUUUUUUAUGUUACUCUUUGUAUUUAUGAAUUUUGACCCAAAUCUGCCACGAGGUGAACUUUGACUGAUGUCCAUCAUUUUGGUCAAUAUUAUUUUGUUGUCUCAAGCGCAGAUUCUUCUAAUUACGGUACUCCUAAUAAUUGAAUAUGUGGGGAGAGUCAGUGUUCCAUGAAACCAGAUUGCUUUCCUUGCUACAGAGUAUGAGCCACCUAGGUUUGUUUCCCGUCAGCUAACUUCCUACACCAAGCCGGCGGCUUGAUGUUGAGGUAAAGUCUUAAAGAAAAUUCUGAUCGAAGUUUGUACCUGAUCAAAGUUUGCUGGCUUGGUGGCGAGGGCGUCAACAUGGCGACGGCGGCAGCCCGCGCUCGCAUCCGUUGGUCAGCAGAGGAGAGCAGCAGGCGGCCACGGCGCCCCGCGCUCAUGUCCGUGGGCCAGCAGAGGUGAAGCCGACGGUGGCGCCGGAGACUCUCGCUCGCAUCCAUGGGGCAGUGUAGGAGAGGCAAGUGGCGACGGCGGUCUGUGCUCGCGUCAUUGGGGCAGUAGAGGAGCGGACGGCGGCGACUGAGUCCCGUGUUUGCGUCUUUGGGGUAGCAGAAGAGGAGCGGACAAGGGACAACGGCAGCGUCGAUCCGCGCUCACGUCCAUAGGGCAGC